This 507-nucleotide ribosomal RNA is filed under the name uncultured bacterium. RNAcentral's name for it is "partial 16S ribosomal RNA". It matches the Rfam family "Bacterial small subunit ribosomal RNA", at positions 28 to 523 of the family's 1533-position model. The record is from RNAcentral.
GACGAACGCUGGCGGCGUGCUUAACACAUGCAAGUCGAACGAGAAAGCCCUUCGGGGUAAGUACAGUGGCGAACGGGUGAGUAACACGUGGGCAACCUGCCCCAGAGAGCGGGACAACCCGGGGAAACCCGGGCUAAUACCGCAUGAUGCGUCUCCACUUAAGUGGAGCCGUCAAAUGGCAGCUUCGGCCUCCGCUCUGGGAUGGGCCCGCGCCGGAUUAGCUAGUUGGGUGGGGUAACGGCCCACCAAGGCGACGAUCCGUAGCUGGUCUGAGAGGGAGAUCAGCCACACUGGGACUGAGACACGGCCCAGACCCCUACGGGAGGCAGCAGUGGGGAAUCUUGCGCAAUGGGCGAAAGCCUGACGCAGCAACGCCGCGUGGGGGAAGAAGGCCUUCGGGUUGUAAACCUCUUUCAGUAGGGACGAAGCUUCCGGGGUUAAUAGCCUACGGGGUGACGGUACCUACAGAAGAAGCCCCGGCUAACUACGUGCCAGCCGCCGCCUAAA